AAGAAAGGAAGGAAGGAAGAAGGAAAGAAAGGAAGAAGGAAAGGAAGAAAGGAAAAGGAAAGGAAUAAGGGAGGGAAGGAGGGAAGAAAGGAGGGAAAGGAAGAGAGGGAGGGAGGGAGGGAAGGGAAGGGAGGGAGGGGAGAAAUAAAUCCUAAAUUUUUAGCGUUUGCCAGCUUCUGCAGUGUAAAUACUCCCAUCACGGCUCAUUUCGAGCCACCAAGGUGACCACUGAAAGUGGAGUUCAGAGGGGUAGGAGUAGCCCACUCUCCUGUGUCAGUGGGAGCCAGCUUCAGCACAUCGUGGUCUUCCUUUCAUUUGGCUUUGAGUGGCGUGGCUAAUGGGUUUGUCACUCAUUGCUUUUGUUUCCUCCCAGUUAAAAUGCUUCACUUGCUUACUAAAAGCCUUUGACAUUAAUCAAGUUCUUCCUGCCAAGCUGGGCCCUACUUGGACUGUCCAGGAGUGAGUUAGGGAAGACAGCCACCACCUGCUCCCCUGAGGGCCCACUGGACAGCCAACUCAUGAAAGUCCAAUACCAUGCCAGGCCUGGGGUGGGGCAUCUAUCAACAGAAAGGCAUUGUCUUUAAUUUUGAAACGCUAAAGGUCUGCUGUCAGGAAACAAUGAACAUUCUCAUAAGAAACACUAUUGGAAGAAUGCCAGAGUCUAGACAGAGGCCUCAGUGCUGAGUGACAGAGCUUCAUGGGACUUUCAAACCAUUUGGUUCCACUCCAUUGUUUUACAGGAAAAAGCUAAGACCCUGGGAGGGUGAGUGGCUUGCUAAAGGUCACAAAGUUAUUUAGUGGCAGAGGUGGGAUUGGAAUCCAUCUUUCUUGACAUCUAGAAGCCAAUUCUUUUGCUGCAGAAUGGGCUGUUGGAAGGUAUAAUAGCUUAUCGAACCAGGGAAAGAUAGGCAUCUCCCUUCCUCCUGCUAAGGUGAUCAACUCAUCCCCAUUUUCCUAUGAGUUUUCUAUUAGCACUGAAAGUCCUUCCCUGUAACCCAGAAAAACCCUAAGUCGAGGCAGACCCCGAAAGCUGAUUCCUGGUCCCCUUCUCUCAUUCCCUUCCUUCCCUGUCCUUUUCUUCCUUCCAUCAUACAUUAAUGGUGCCUGCCCAUAAAGACCUUAGUGUCGAAGAAAGAAAUGUUGAGAAGAGGAUUGUGGAGGCUGUCCUCCACACCUACCCGAUUUGGGCUAGAGUUCACUCAGAACACUGUAACCUCUUUUACUAAUGCCUCCACUUCUUGGUCUGCCUUUUGAAACAGAAAUAGAUUUAUUGGAUUGUAAAAGCAAGCAACCAAUGUAGAUUGUUAAAGAAAUUAAAUAAUAGAGAUGUAUGUGUGGUAGUAAAUGGAUGUCUUCAGAUAAACCCAGCAGCUGGACUAACAGGAUAAUGUUUAUCCUUGAAGAUAAUUUCAUUUAUCCAUCUGUCUAUCAUCUGUGUAUCUAUAUAUUGCUAUACCAUAUUGUAUAUUACAGAUUCCCAUUCUGGUAAAAAUUUGACCAUAUUAAUCAUGUUACUUUGUAAUCUGGGAUUUUCAUUUAAAAACAUAUCAUGGAUGUCUUUCCACGUUAGCCAUUUAAAG
Molecule: long non-coding RNA, 1580 nt
Filed under: Homo sapiens (human)
Lineage: Eukaryota; Metazoa; Chordata; Mammalia; Primates; Hominidae
Description: HSALNT0389399
Source: RNAcentral